AAAAAACGUCCUUAUACCAUUUGUAGUGAGAUAGUGUAGGACAACGUAAAUUAGAUAAAAGAUCAGCAGUUCGGGCUGCAAGUAUUGAAGUAUUUCCUAUGAAAUGAAGAGCAAUUGUAUAAAUCAGUGAAUUGACAGCAUCACUUUCAGAAUAUACCAUAUCUUGGUUGUGUUCAUUUUUUGUUGUCCAUUGACGAGUAUUUGUUAAUA
This 210-nucleotide long non-coding RNA is filed under the name Amborella trichopoda. RNAcentral describes it as "long non-coding RNA (ATRI_LNC002667)". The record is from RNAcentral. Lineage: Eukaryota; Viridiplantae; Streptophyta; Magnoliopsida; Amborellales; Amborellaceae.